RNAcentral lists this ribosomal RNA (120 nucleotides) under Neonectria ditissima. Lineage: Eukaryota; Fungi; Ascomycota; Sordariomycetes; Hypocreales; Nectriaceae. The record is from RNAcentral.
ACAUACGACCAUACCCAGUGGAAAAUACGGGAUCCCGUUCGCUCUCCCCGAGUCAAGCUGAGGAGCGCUUGAGUAGUAGUUAGGUCUGUGACAACUAGCGAAUACCGAGUGUUGUAUGUU